GAGGGUAUAGCUCAGUGGUAGAGCAGGUGCUUAGGAUGUACAAGUUCAUGGGUUCAAUCCCCAGUAUCUCCU
RNAcentral lists this transfer RNA (72 nucleotides) under Camelus bactrianus (Bactrian camel). It matches the Rfam family "tRNA". Rfam says of the family: Transfer RNA (tRNA) molecules are approximately 80 nucleotides in length. Their secondary structure includes four short double-helical elements and three loops (D, anti-codon, and T loops). The record is from Rfam by way of RNAcentral. Lineage: Eukaryota; Metazoa; Chordata; Mammalia; Artiodactyla; Camelidae. RNAcentral also lists the same sequence under 2 other names.